This 437-nucleotide ribosomal RNA is filed under the name uncultured bacterium. RNAcentral's name for it is "bacterial SSU rRNA". It matches the Rfam family "Bacterial small subunit ribosomal RNA", at positions 383 to 810 of the family's 1533-position model. The record is from RNAcentral.
GUGACGAAGCGACGCCGCGUGUGGGAAGAAGGCCUUCGGGUUGUAAACCGCUGUUGGGAGUUAGGAAGUGUGGAGGUGUUAAUAGCGCUUUCACUUGACUAAAGCUCCAGAGGAAGCCACGGCUAACUCUGUGCCAGCAGCCGCGGUAAUACAGAGGCGGCAAGCGUUGUUCGGAAUUAUUGGGCGUAAAGAGCACGUAGGCGGCUCUGUAAGUCAGCUGUGAAAGCCUUCUGCUUAACGGAAGAACAGCAGUUGAAACUACAGGGCUUGAGUGCGGGAGGGGAGAGUGGAACUUCUGGUGGAGCGGUGAAAUGCGUAGAUAUCAGAAGGAACGCCGGCGGCGAAAGCGGCUCUCUGGCCCGUAACUGACGCUGAGUGUGCGAAAGCUAGGGGAGCAAACGGGAUUAGAUACCCCGGUAGUCCUAGCCGUAAACGAU